Molecule: ribosomal RNA, 444 nt
Filed under: uncultured bacterium
Lineage: Bacteria
Description: partial 16S ribosomal RNA
Rfam family: Bacterial small subunit ribosomal RNA
Source: RNAcentral
GUAGGGAAUAUUGGGCAAUGGUCGGAAGACUGACCCAGCCAUGCCGCGUGCAGGAAGACGGCCCUCUGGGUUGUAAACUGCUUUUAUCUGGGAAGAAAAAGGCCAUGCGUGGCAAAUUGCCGGUACCAGAUGAAUAAGCACCGGCUAACUCCGUGCCAGCAGCCGCGGUAAUACGGAGGGUGCGAGCGUUGUCCGGAUUUAUUGGGUUUAAAGGGUGCGUAGGCGGCUGAUUAAGUCAUCGGUGAAAGACUUCGGCUUAACCGGAGCAGUGCCGUUGAUACUGGUUGUCUUGAGUGUCGGAGGGGUACAUGGAAUUGAUGGUGUAGCGGUGAAAUGCAUAGAUACCAUCAGGAACACCGAUAGCGAAGGCAUUGUACUGGCCGACAACUGACGCUGAUGCACGAAAGUGUGGGGAUCGAACAGGAUUAGAAACCCCGGUAGUCC